UAGUCCACGCCGUAAACGAUGGACACUAGUUGUUGGACUUAUUCAGUGACUAAGCGAAAGUGAUAAGUGUCCCACCUGGGGAGUACGAUCGCAAGAUUGAAACUCAAAGGAAUUGACGGGGCCCGCACAAGCGGUGGAGCAUGUGGUUUAAUUCGAUGAUACGCGAGGAACCUUACCAGGGCUUAAAUGUGGUAGGACAGGUUUAGAGAUAAACCCUCCUUCGGGCUUACCACAAGGUGCUGCAUGGUUGUCGUCAGCUCGUGCCGUGAGGUGUCAGGUUAAGUCCUAUAACGAGCGCAACCCUUAUCGUUAGUUGCCAUCAAGUAAAGUUGGGGACUCUAACGAGACUGCCGGUGCAAACCGCGAGGAAGGUGGGGAUGACGUCAAAUCAUCACGGCCCUUACGUUCUGGGGCUACACACGUGCUACAAUGGGUAUAGACAAUGAGCAGCCAGUGGGCAACCACGAGCGAAUCUAUAAACUAUAUCACAGUUCGGAUCGGAGUCUGCAACUC
Molecule: ribosomal RNA, 513 nt
Filed under: uncultured bacterium
Lineage: Bacteria
Description: bacterial SSU rRNA
Rfam family: Bacterial small subunit ribosomal RNA
Source: RNAcentral